GAGUUCCCGCGGCUGCUCGGCGGCGGCCGGCUCGGGAGCAACCUUGAGCGCGGCCGCGGAGACAGUGAUUUAGGUGCCGGCACCGGAGCGUGAAGCCUCCUGCUCUGUAAUCUGACAUCCUUUUCCCCACCUCUUCCAGCGAAGGCCCCGGGGAGCCGCCUCUUCAUCCACUCACAGGUCACUCCCUUCUUAGCUGGAACCUGGACCCUGGCUCAACUUGAAUUCCUUGGCCUCCCACUGGUUUCUCUCUGGAGCUGCAUUUUUCAACCUGACCUCAGAGGAUGAGGCCUGUGCCCAGGCAGACCCCUGAGAGCCAAGAGGGUGUGGCUGAGAGGUGGCAUCUAGAUAGCUUCAUGGAGAAUCCAGUGCCUCAGCAGGAGGAGCAGACCCCCUAACGUGCCUUCCAUCAUGACCUGGAAGGACACAGAACUGAAAGUGCCACUUGGACAAGAAAGAAGAUCCUCUUAGAAGGCACCUGGGUGAACAGAUCACAUGGACGAUCACGUGAUACUCUCCCCACCCAGCCUCCAGCACUACAGAAGCCCUCCCAGACUUAGACGGAAGUCUAGGGAAAGGACGAGAACUCCGAGGAAAUUCAAAAAUCACUGAGACUGAAUUUUUUUUCCACUGCCAGUGGCACAAGGACUCAGCAUGGAAAUUAAAUU
This 665-nucleotide long non-coding RNA is filed under the name Homo sapiens (human). Its description in RNAcentral is "HSALNT0389539". Lineage: Eukaryota; Metazoa; Chordata; Mammalia; Primates; Hominidae. The record is from RNAcentral.